GAAUUCGAUUAGAGUUUGAUCAUGGCUCAGAACGAACGCUGGCGGCAUGCCUAACACAUGCAAGUCGAACGAACCCUUCGGGGUGAGUGGCGCACGGGUGCGUAACGCGUGGGAACCUGCCCUUAGGUUCGGAACAACAGUUAGAAAUGACUGCUAAUACCGAAUAAUGUCUUCGGACCAAAGAUUUAUCGCCUUUGGAUGGGCCCGCGUAGGAUUAGCUAGUUGGUGAGGUAAAGGCUCACCAAGGCGACGAUCCUUAGCUGGUCUUAGAGGAUGAUCAGCCACACUGGGACUGAGACACGGCCCAGACUCCUACGGGAGGCAGCAGUGGGGAAUAUUGGACAAUGGGCGAAAGCCUGAUCCAGCAAUGCCGCGUGAGUGAUGAAGGCCUUAGGGUUGUAAAGCUCUUUUACCCGGGAUGAUAAUGACAGUACCGGGAGAAUAAGCCCCGGCUAACUCCGUGCCAGCAGCCGCGGUAAUACGGAGGGGGCUAGCGUUGUUCGGAAAUACUGGGCGUAAAGCGCACGUAGGCGGCCAAGUAAGUCAGGGGUGAAAUCCCGGGGCUCAACCCCGGAACUGCCCUUGA
Molecule: ribosomal RNA, 586 nt
Filed under: uncultured bacterium
Lineage: Bacteria
Description: bacterial SSU rRNA
Rfam family: Bacterial small subunit ribosomal RNA
Source: RNAcentral